CGGCCGUGGAAAUCGAGCUGAAGGCGCUCGAACUGACGCAGAUGCGCGUGGUCGCCAACGAAAGCAAGAACGGCAAGGGCAAGCCCGAUCCGGCAUCGUCGACCCUCAAGAUCAAGGGUUCGGAAAUUCAGCAGACCAUCNNNNGCUGGAAAUCACCGGACCGUUCGCGCUGCCUUACGCGGACGAGCACGACAAGAGCAAUGAAGAGGCGAGCUGGGCGACGACAGUUGCGCCGGGCUACUUCAACUACCGCAAGGUCUCCAUCUACGGAGGCUCGAACG
Molecule: unclassified non-coding RNA, 281 nt
Filed under: Hevea brasiliensis (rubber tree)
Lineage: Eukaryota; Viridiplantae; Streptophyta; Magnoliopsida; Malpighiales; Euphorbiaceae
Source: RNAcentral